This 601-nucleotide ribosomal RNA is filed under the name uncultured archaeon. RNAcentral's name for it is "bacterial SSU rRNA". It matches the Rfam family "Archaeal small subunit ribosomal RNA", at positions 1 to 601 of the family's 1478-position model. The record is from RNAcentral.
UCCGGUUGAUCCUGCCAGAGGCCACUGCUAUGGGGGUCCGACUAAGCCAUGCGAGUCAUGGGGCGCCUUGCGCGCACCGGCGGACGGCUCAGUAACACGUCGGUAACCUACCCUCGGGAGGGGGAUAACCCCGGGAAACUGGGGCUAAUCCCCCGUAGGCCUGAGGUACUGGAAGGUCCUCAGGCCGAAAGGGUCUUUGACCGCCCGAGGAUGGGCCGGCGGCCGAUUAGGUAGUUGGUGGGGUAACGGCCCACCAAGCCGAAGAUCGGUACGGGCCAUGAGAGUGGGAGCCCGGAGAUGGACACUGAGACACGGGUCCAGGCCCUACGGGGCGCAGCAGGCGCGAAACCUCCGCAAUGCUCGAAAGAGCGACGGGGGGACCCCCAGUGCCGUGGCAUCGCCACGGCUUUUCCGGAGUGUAAAGAGCUCCGGGAAUAAGGGCUGGGCAAGGCCGGUGGCAGCCGCCGCGGUAAUACCGGCGGCCCGAGUGGUGGCCGCUAUUAUUGGGCCUAAAGCGUCCGUAGCCGGGCCAGUAAGUCCCUGGCGAAAUCCCACGGCUCAACCGUGGGGCUUGCUGGGGAUACUGCUGGCCUUGGGACCG